Molecule: ribosomal RNA, 253 nt
Filed under: uncultured bacterium
Lineage: Bacteria
Description: partial 16S ribosomal RNA
Rfam family: Bacterial small subunit ribosomal RNA
Source: RNAcentral
UACGUAGGGUGCAAGCGUUAAUCGGAAUUACUGGGCGUAAAGCGCGCGUAGGCGGCUUUGCAAGUCGGGUGUGAAAUCCCCAGGCUUAACCUGGGAACUGCAUUCGAGACUGCAUUGCUAGAGUAUGGGAGAGGGAAGUGGAAUUUCCGGUGUAGCGGUGAAAUGCGUAGAUAUCGGAAGGAACAUCAGUGGCGAAAGCGACUUCCUGGACCAAUACUGACGCUCAUGUGCGAAAGCGUGGGGAGCGAACAGG